This 252-nucleotide ribosomal RNA is filed under the name uncultured bacterium. RNAcentral's name for it is "partial 16S ribosomal RNA". It matches the Rfam family "Bacterial small subunit ribosomal RNA", at positions 524 to 776 of the family's 1533-position model. The record is from RNAcentral.
UACGAAGGGUGCAAGCGUUACUCGGAAUUACUGGGCGUAAAGCGUGAGUAGGUGGUUUCUUAAGUCUGCUGUGAAAGCCCCGGGCCCAACCUGGGGAUUGCAGUGGAUACUGGGAGCUAGAGUGCGGUAGAGGGUAGUGGAAUUCCCGGUGUAGCGGUGAAAUGCGUAGAGAUCGGGAAGAACACCAGUGGCGAAGGCGGCUACCUGGACCAGCACUGACACUGAGUCACGAAAGCGUGGGGAGCAAACAGG